AGCAGUCGCCGCGGUAAUACGUAGGGUGCAAGCGUUAAUCGGAAUUACUGGGCGUAAAGCGUGCGCAGGCGGUCCGCUAAGACAGAUGUGAAAUCCCCGGGCUUAACCUGGGAACUGCAUUUGUGACUGGCGGGCUAGAGUAUGGCAGAGAGGGGUAGAAUUCCACGUGUAGCAGUGAAAUGCGUAGAGAUGUGGAGGAAUACCGAUGGCGAAGGCAGCCCCCUGGGUCAAUACUGACGCUCAUGCACGAAAGCGUGGGGAGCAAACAGGAUUAGAUACCCGGGUAGUCCCUGUCUCUUAUAC
RNAcentral lists this ribosomal RNA (303 nucleotides) under uncultured bacterium. RNAcentral describes it as "partial 16S ribosomal RNA". It matches the Rfam family "Bacterial small subunit ribosomal RNA", at positions 507 to 807 of the family's 1533-position model. The record is from RNAcentral.